RNAcentral lists this ribosomal RNA (543 nucleotides) under uncultured Candidatus Poseidoniales archaeon. RNAcentral describes it as "bacterial SSU rRNA". It matches the Rfam family "Archaeal small subunit ribosomal RNA", at positions 1 to 549 of the family's 1478-position model. The record is from RNAcentral. Lineage: Archaea; Methanobacteriati; Thermoplasmatota; Candidatus Poseidoniia; Candidatus Poseidoniales.
UUCCGGUUGAUCCUGCCAGAGGCGACCGCUAUUGGAGUUCGAUUAAGCCAUGCGAGUAGAAAGAAAUUAGAUUCUUUGCAUACUGCUCAGUAACACGUGGAUAACCUGCCCUACACUGUGGGAUAAUCUCGGGAAACUGAGGAUAAUACCCCAUAGACCACUACGCCUGGAACGGUGAGUGGUUGAAAGCUCAGGCGGUGUAGGAUGGGUCUGCGGCGUAUCAGGUCGUAGGGGGUGUAAUGGACCUCCUAGCCAUCGACGCGUACGGGUUGUGGGAGCAAUAGCCCGGAGACGGAUUCUGAGACACGAAUCCGGACCCUACGGGGUGCAGCAGGCGCGAAAACUUCACACUGCAGGAAACUGUGAUGAGGGAACUCCAAGUGACUGCACAUUGUGUAGCCUUUUCUUGAAUCUUAAUAGUUCUUGGAAUAAGGGCUGGGAAAGACCGGUGCCAGCCGCCGCGGUAAUACCGGCAGCUCGAGUGGUCGUCGCUUUUAUUGGGCCUAAAACGUCCGUAGCCUGUUUGGUAAAUCUGUGGGUAAA